UACGUAGGGACCGAGCGUUGUCCGGAAUCAUUGGGCGUAAAGAGCGUGUAGGCGGCCUUUUAAGUCCUGCGUGAAAUCCUGCGGCUCAACCGCAGACGGUCGUGGGAAACUGGAAGGCUAGAGUGCGGGAGAGGAGAGUGGAAUCCCCGGUGUAGCGGUGAAAUGCGCAGAUAUCGGGAAGAACACCCGUGGCGAAGGCGGCUCUCUGGAACGCAACUGACGCUGAGACGCGAAAGCGUGGGGAGCAAACAGG
RNAcentral lists this ribosomal RNA (253 nucleotides) under uncultured bacterium. RNAcentral's name for it is "partial 16S ribosomal RNA". It matches the Rfam family "Bacterial small subunit ribosomal RNA", at positions 524 to 776 of the family's 1533-position model. The record is from RNAcentral.